AAGAAGAUAAUAUAAAGGUAGUAGAAAUAAACAAAACCCAUAAAGCUUGGCGGUUACUAUUACACAGAGAAACUUGUUUUAUAAUCGACAACACUCGAUCAAUUUAACUUAAAUAAAAUUAGCAUAUAUACCGCCGUUACAGAAAUAAAAAAUAAAAUUUCACAAAAACUACUUUUAAAAAAUCAGGUCAAGGUAUAGCCAAUAAUUAAGUAAAAAUUAGUUACACAUUAAGAACAAUUAAAGGAAAUAAGGUGAAAACCAACUAAUAAAUAGAAUCUGUACACAACACUAAAUUAAAAAUAUAAUAUGAAACAUAUAAUAGUAACGC
This 328-nucleotide ribosomal RNA is filed under the name Mesabolivar kathrinae. RNAcentral describes it as "partial 12S ribosomal RNA". The record is from RNAcentral. Lineage: Eukaryota; Metazoa; Arthropoda; Arachnida; Araneae; Pholcidae.